UACGUAGGGGGCUAGCGUUGUCCGGAAUUACUGGGCGUAAAGCGCGUGUAGGCGGCUCGGAUAGUCGGGUGUGAAAGCCCUGGGCUCAACCCAGGAAGUGCACUCGAUACUGCCGAGCUGGAGUCCCGGAGAGGAUGGCGGAAUUCUCGGUGUAGAGGUGAAAUUCGUAGAUAUCGAGAGGAACACCUGUGGCGAAGGCGGCCUUCUGGACGGUGACUGACGCUGAGACGCGAAAGCGUGGGGAGCAAACAGG
This 253-nucleotide ribosomal RNA is filed under the name uncultured bacterium. RNAcentral describes it as "partial 16S ribosomal RNA". It matches the Rfam family "Bacterial small subunit ribosomal RNA", at positions 524 to 776 of the family's 1533-position model. The record is from RNAcentral.